AAGUAUAUGCAUAUUUUAUAUGUAGAAACUGCGAACGGCUCAUUAAAACAGUUAUAAUCUACUUGACAUUUUUUCUAUAAGGAUAACUACGGAAAAGCUGUAGCUAAUACUUGCUUUAGCACUCUUGAUUAAGUUCUUGAGUGUGUACUUGUUAAGCCUUUUAAGAAAAAAGUUAUUAACUUAAGGAAUUAUAACAAAGAAGUAACACGUAAAUGGAUUUUCCAUUUUUUAGUGUGUAUCAAUCGAGUUUCUGACCUAUCAGCUUUUGAUGUUAGGGUAUUGGCCUAACAUGGCUAUGACGGGUAACGGGGAAUUAGAGUUCGAUUCCGGAGAGGGAGCCUGAGAAAUAGCUACCACAUCUAAGGAAGGCAGCAGGCGCGUAAAUUACCCAAUUCUAAAGAAGAGAGGUAGUGACAAGAAAUAACAAUACAAGGCCAAUCUGGCUUUGUAAUUGGAAUGAUGGGAAUUUAAAACCUUCCCAAAACUCAAUUGGAGGGCAAGUCUGGUGCCAGCAGCCGCGGUAAUUCCAGCUCCAAUAGCGUAUAUUAAAAUUGUUGCAGUUAAAACGCUCGUAGUUGAAUUUCAAAGAAUCGAUAUUUUAAGUAACGCUUUGUAGAUUAAUCCACAUAACUGAUACUACGUAUCGACUUUGUGCGCAUUUUUCUACUUAUGUGUUCUUUUAAUUAAAAUGAUUCUUUUUAAGAUCUUUCUUUUUUGCUUCGGCAUUUUAGGAGAUCUUGUUACUUUGAGUAAAUUAGAGUGUUCAAAGCAAACAGAUUAUAGCAUCUUUAUGCGUUUGAAUACUACAGCAUGGAAUAACAAAAUUGAACAAGUCAGAAUUUUGUUCUUUUUUCUUAUUUUGGCUUAGUUACGAUUAAUAGGAGUAGCUUGGGGGCAUUUGUAUUCAGAUGUCAGAGGUGAAAUUCUUAGAUUUUCUGGAGACAAACAACUGCGAAAGCAUUUGCCUAAAAUACUUCCAUUAAUCAAGAACGAAAGUUAAGGGAGUGAAGACGAUCAGAUACCGUCGUAAUCUUAACCAUAAACUAUGCCGACUAGGCUUUGGAUGAAAGAUUUUAAAAUAAGAGUUUUUUCUCUGAGGAGUUAAAACUCUUAGAUUGCUUCCUUCAGUGCCUUAUGAGAAAUCAAAGUCUUUGGGUUCUGGGGCGAGUAUUCGCGCAAGCGAGAAAGUUAAAAGAAUUGACGGAAGGGCACCACCAGGCGUGGAGCUUGCGGCUUAAUUUGACUCAACACGGGAAAACUCACUAGUUUAAGACAAGAGUAGGAUUGACAGAUUAAUAGCUCUUUCUUGAUUUCUUGGAUGGUGAUGCAUGGCCGUUUUUAGUUCGUGAAUAUGAUUUGUCUGGUUAAUUCCGAUAACGAACGAGAUCUUAACCUGCUAAUUAGCGGCAAAUACGAUAUAUUCUUAUGUGGAAUUGAAUAUAGUUGAUUUGCUUAUUUUGAAGAAAAUAUUGGGAUACGUAAAUGUAUCCCUUUCCCUUUUCUACUUAAUUUGCUUAUCAUACUAUUUCUUUUUUGCGUAAGAAUGUAUUUGCUUGAUUGUAAAGCUUCUUAGAGGAACGAUGUGUGUCUAACACAAG
This 1598-nucleotide ribosomal RNA is filed under the name Plasmodium sp. RNAcentral's name for it is "SSU rRNA". It matches the Rfam family "Eukaryotic small subunit ribosomal RNA", at positions 61 to 1439 of the family's 1831-position model. The record is from RNAcentral. Lineage: Eukaryota; Apicomplexa; Aconoidasida; Haemosporida; Plasmodiidae.